Dromaius novaehollandiae (emu) is the source of this 411-nucleotide long non-coding RNA. Lineage: Eukaryota; Metazoa; Chordata; Aves; Casuariiformes; Dromaiidae. The record is from Ensembl.
UUGCAUUUCAGGUGGCCCAGAGGAUUAUAGAGUACGCUAGAAGAUUUCCUUUCAACUGUACAAACACUUCAGGAUUGCUCCCUGUGUGUGAAGGGAAAAUAGAAGUUGUAUGAUAAAGAUUUUUUGGCCACAACUUCUGAAGACUUAUAACCUUAGCGCUCUGCUAAGAAACAGAACCUUGUAAGAUUCAAGAAAAUUAUCUUAUCUGGCUUUUAUCCUGUUUGGAAGCAUCUAAAGAAAAACUGGAGACUGCAGGGAUACACAGACAACUGAAAGUUCUGGAAAGACUAGCCAGAUUUCGCCGUAAAUUGCAAAGAAUGAAGACAGGAACCAAGAAAGAACCUAAGGCUUUUCUGGUAAGACAUGUUCUCAAAACUUUGCUGAGCACAAGUUUCGCCUUUUAUUCUUCAC